AAAGAUAUAGCUCAAGUGGUAGAGCACGUGCUUAGCACUCACGAGGUCCUGGGUUCAAUCCCCAGUGCCUCCU
Molecule: transfer RNA, 73 nt
Filed under: Camelus bactrianus (Bactrian camel)
Lineage: Eukaryota; Metazoa; Chordata; Mammalia; Artiodactyla; Camelidae
Also listed under: 1 other name
Rfam family: tRNA
About the family: Transfer RNA (tRNA) molecules are approximately 80 nucleotides in length.
Source: Rfam by way of RNAcentral